CAGAUGGUCGCUGCCGCAAAGCCGAAAGGCUGCGGGAGAGGAAAGUCCGGGCUUCACAGGGCAGGAUGCCAGAUAACGUCUGGCGGAGGCGACUCCAGGGACAGUGCAACAGAAAUAAACCGCACGGCCAGUUCCGUGUAAGGGUGGAAAGGCAGUGUAAGAGACUACCGCCUGCCUGGCAACAGGCAGGGCACAUGUAAACCCCAUCUGAAGCAAGGCCGAACAGGGAGCAUAAGGCGGCCCGUCUGCUCCGGGUAGGCUGCUUGAGUCCGGCGGCGACGCCGGUCCUAGAUAGAUGACCAUCCAACGACAUAACCCGGCUUACCGUUUUGCUUG
This 336-nucleotide RNase P RNA is filed under the name uncultured Lachnoclostridium sp. RNAcentral's name for it is "Bacterial RNase P class A". It matches the Rfam family "Bacterial RNase P class A". Rfam says of the family: Ribonuclease P (RNase P) is a ubiquitous endoribonuclease, found in archaea, bacteria and eukarya as well as chloroplasts and mitochondria. Its best characterised activity is the generation of mature 5'-ends of tRNAs by cleaving the 5'-leader elements of precursor-tRNAs. The record is from RNAcentral. Lineage: Bacteria; Bacillati; Bacillota; Clostridia; Lachnospirales; Lachnospiraceae.